This 669-nucleotide long non-coding RNA is filed under the name Homo sapiens (human). RNAcentral's name for it is "long intergenic non-protein coding RNA 665". Lineage: Eukaryota; Metazoa; Chordata; Mammalia; Primates; Hominidae. The record is from RNAcentral.
GCAAGGUUGGUCUGCAGGUGGCCUCCAGGUGCAAAGUGGGAAGUAUUAAAGGUACGACAUUUGGAGGCCCCAGCGAGAAACGUCACCGGGAGAAACGUCACCGGGCGAGAGCCGGGCCCGCUGUGUGCUCCCCCGGAAGGACAGCCAGCUUGUAGGGGGGAGUGCCACCUGAAAAAAAAAUUUCCAGGUCCCCAAAGGGUGACCGUCUUCCGGAGGACAGCGGAUCGACUACCAUGUGGGUGCCCACAAAAAUUCCACCUCUGAGUCCUCAACUGCUGACCCCGGGGUCAGACACGGGGUUUCACCAUGUUGGCCAGGCCGGUCUUGAACUUGUGACGUCAGGUGAUGCACCCGCCUUGGCCUCCCAAAGUGCUGGGAUUACAGGUCCAGAUUUUGAACAAAUCUCGCUAGAGAUUGAACAGAGCUGCGCCUGGAUCCCGCCACAGUGAGGAGACCUGAAGACCAGAGAAAACACAGCAAACGGAGUCUUGCUCUGUUGUCCAGGCUGGAGUGUAGUGUGGCGAUCUCGGCUCCCUGCAAGAAUCUGCCUCCCAGAUUCACGCCAUUUUCCCACCUCAGCCCCUGGAGUAGCUGGAAGUACAGGCUCCCGCCACCACGCCUGGCUAAUUUUGUUUUUGUAUUUUUAGUAGAGACGGGGUUUCACUGUGU